CAUCCAGACUCCUACGGGAGGCAGCAGUAGGGAAUAUUGCUCAAUGGGGGAAACCCUGAAGCAGCAACGCCGCGUGGAGGAUGAAGGUUUUCGGAUUGUAAACUCCUUUUGUUAGAGAAGAUAAUGACGGUAUCUAACGAAUAAGCACCGGCUAACUCCGUGCCAGCAGCCGCGGUAAUACGGAGGGUGCAAGCGUUACUCGGAAUCACUGGGCGUAAAGAGCGCGUAGGCGGGAUAGCAAGUCAGAUGUGAAAUCCUAUGGCUUAACCCUUGGACUGCCUUUGAAACUUUUAUUCUAGAGUAUGGGAGAGGGUGGUUGAAUUCUUGGUGUAGGGGUAAAAUCCGUAGAGAUCAAGAGGAAUACUCAUUGCGAAGGCGACCUGCUAGGACAUAACU
Molecule: ribosomal RNA, 396 nt
Filed under: uncultured bacterium
Lineage: Bacteria
Description: bacterial SSU rRNA
Rfam family: Bacterial small subunit ribosomal RNA
Source: RNAcentral